Molecule: ribosomal RNA, 459 nt
Filed under: uncultured bacterium
Lineage: Bacteria
Description: partial 16S ribosomal RNA
Rfam family: Bacterial small subunit ribosomal RNA
Source: RNAcentral
CCUACGGGUGGCUGCAGUGAGGAAUAUUGGUCAAUGGGAGAGAUCCUGAACCAGCCAAGCCGCGUGAGGGAAGACGGCCCUAUGGGUUGUAAACCUCUUUUGUCGGGGAACAAAACCCUGGACGUGUCCCGGACUGCGUGUAUCCGAAGAAAAAGCAUCGGCUAACUCCGUGCCAGCAGCCGCGGUAAUACGGAGGAUGCGAGCGUUAUCCGGAUUUAUUGGGUUAAAGGGGUGGGUGGGGGGUCCGUUAAGUCAGCGGUAGAAUUGCGGGGCUCAACCCCGUCGAGCCGUUGAAACUGGCAGACUAGAGUAGGCGAGAGGUACGCGGAAUGCGCGGUGUAGCGGUGAAAUGCAUAGAUAUCGCGCAGAACUCCGAUUGCGAAGGCAGCGUACCGGAGCCAGACUGACGCUGAGGCACGAAAGCGUGGGGAUCGAACAGGAUUAGAUACCCCUGUAGUC